UUUUUUUUUUUUUUUUUUAUUCUGCUCAGGAUGAACGCUGGCGGCGUGCCUAAUACAUGCAAGUCGAACGAACUUCCGUUAAUUGAUUAUGACGUGCUUGCACUGAAUGAGAUUUUAACACGAAGUGAGUGGCGGACGGGUGAGUAACACGUGGGUAACCUGCCCAGAAGCAGGGGAUAACACCUGGAAACAGAUGCUAAUACCGUAUAACAGAGAAAACCGCCUGGUUUUCUUUUAAAAGAUGGCUCUGCUAUCACUUCUGGAUGGACCCGCGGCGCAUUAGCUAGUUGGUGAGGUAACGGCUCACCAAGGCGAUGAUGCGUAGCCGACCUGAGAGGGUAAUCGGCCACAUUGGGACUGAGACACGGCCCAGACUCCUACGGGAGGCAGCAGUAGGGAAUCUUCCACAAUGGACGCAAGUCUGAUGGAGCAACGCCGCGUGAGUGAAGAAGGGUUUCGGCUCGUAAAGCUCUGUUGUUAAAGAAGAACGUGGGUGAGAGUAACUGUUCACCCAGUGACGGUAUUUAACCAGAAAGCCACGGCUAACUACGUGCCAGCAGCCGCGGUAAUACGUAGGUGGCAAGCGUUAUCCGGAUUUAUUGGGCGUAAAGCGAGCGCAGGCGGUCUUUUAAGUCUAAUGUGAAAGCCUUCGGCUCAACCGAAGAAGUGCAUUGGAAACUGGGAGACUUGAGUGCAGAAGAGGACAGUGGAACUCCAUGUGUAGCGGUGAAAUGCGUAGAUAUAUGGAAGAACACCAGUGGCGAAGGCGGCUGUCUGGUCUGUAACUGACGCUGAGCUCGAAGACG
RNAcentral lists this ribosomal RNA (806 nucleotides) under Pediococcus acidilactici. RNAcentral's name for it is "bacterial SSU rRNA". It matches the Rfam family "Bacterial small subunit ribosomal RNA", at positions 1 to 761 of the family's 1533-position model. Lineage: Bacteria; Bacillati; Bacillota; Bacilli; Lactobacillales; Lactobacillaceae. The record is from RNAcentral.